Molecule: long non-coding RNA, 447 nt
Filed under: Homo sapiens (human)
Lineage: Eukaryota; Metazoa; Chordata; Mammalia; Primates; Hominidae
Description: HSALNT0003716
Source: RNAcentral
CUCACCACAGUGACGGCGUCAUUGAGCAAGGACUCCCCAAAAACAAGGAUGUGCAGCAGCUCAUUGAUGUGAAUUUCCUCAAAGACAGCCAGAACCGCCACGGGGUCCACGGCCGAGAUGAUGCUGCCGAAGAGCAGGUUGUCCAGGAGGCCGAUGUUGUUGAUCUGCUCACCGCCCACCAGGCACACGGCGUACAUGAGGCCGCCCAGGAAGAAGGCGUUCCACAGCGUGCCCACCACGGCAAAGAUCAGGAUGGUGCCCAGGUUUUCUGUGAACUGCCGCAGUGGCAGGAAGUAGCCCGCAUCCAGGAUGAUGGGCGGCAGCAGGAAGAGGAAGAAGACGUCGGACUGCAGGAAGGGGGGUGUCUCGCCUACACCCUUGAUCAGGCCCCCCACCAGCAGCCCCACCACGAUCAGCAGGCAGCUCUCCGGGACGAUGCUUGAGAUA